UCCAAGAUAAAAUAUAAGCACAUAGGAAAGUCUAAUCUCAAGCUCUAGGACAAAUACAGUUGCAAAUCAAUCAUAGUGUUGCUCAUCUUUAGAAGGUCCGAUGAAAGAUGGGUGAAAUUCCCAACAAUCAUAAUUAAAAAUACUUUUAAAACUUAUUGAAAUUAUUCGAGAAAACCACCGAUAAACUCAAACAAAUAAGAGACCCACAAUCUAAGAAAACUACUGUAAAAAUCAUAUUCGAUCUUUGAUAGGAAGGAGCCCCUAUUGGAAUAGAGGGAUUAAGCCUCUACUAUUGAUAUGACCGCCACUCUUAGGAUCAAGGAGGCUUCAAGCAUCUCUGAAAAAGAAUGAAAUGGUAAGGGGUGAUUUUAGGAGACUCAUUGCGCCAAGCAAAGCCAUCCUCACAGACUACGGCUUCAUCAACCCUUCCAAAACAGGACUCUGUUAGGACCAUAGAAGAUGAUCCUUUAACCUGAAAAACCCAAAAAAGGAAAACCAUGCAAAAAACAAACAAAGCAAUCCAAAUUAAUCUCUCAAUAUAAGCACAAUUGUUAACAAUAAACAAUAAAGUUAUGUACACCCACCCAAUUUUGGGUGGAAAAAAUCACAUUUGAAAAGGAGGAGGCUUUCCACUGUCCAGAAGAACAGGG
This 650-nucleotide long non-coding RNA is filed under the name Manihot esculenta (cassava). RNAcentral's name for it is "long non-coding RNA (MESC_LNC004414)". Lineage: Eukaryota; Viridiplantae; Streptophyta; Magnoliopsida; Malpighiales; Euphorbiaceae. The record is from RNAcentral.